This 520-nucleotide ribosomal RNA is filed under the name Escherichia coli. Its description in RNAcentral is "bacterial SSU rRNA". It matches the Rfam family "Bacterial small subunit ribosomal RNA", at positions 92 to 608 of the family's 1533-position model. The record is from RNAcentral. Lineage: Bacteria; Pseudomonadati; Pseudomonadota; Gammaproteobacteria; Enterobacterales; Enterobacteriaceae.
CGAGUGGCGGACGGGUGAGUAAUGUCUGGGAAACUGCCUGAUGGAGGGGGAUAACUACUGGAAACGGUAGCUAAUACCGCAUAACGUCGCAAGACCAAAGAGGGGGACCUUCGGGCCUCUUGCCAUCGGAUGUGCCCAGAUGGGAUUAGCUAGUAGGUGGGGUAAAGGCUCACCUAGGCGACGAUCCCUAGCUGGUCUGAGAGGAUGACCAGCCACACUGGAACUGAGACACGGUCCAGACUCCUACGGGAGGCAGCAGUGGGGAAUAUUGCACAAUGGGCGCAAGCCUGAUGCAGCCAUGCCGCGUGUAUGAAGAAGGCCUUCGGGUUGUAAAGUACUUUCAGCGGGGAGGAAGGGAGUAAAGUUAAUACCUUUGCUCAUUGACGUUACCCGCAGAAGAAGCACCGGCUAACUCCGUGCCAGCAGCCGCGGUAAUACGGAGGGUGCAAGCGUUAAUCGGAAUUACUGGGCGUAAAGCGCACGCAGGCGGUUUGUUAAGUCAGAUGUGAAAUCCCCCGGC